This 101-nucleotide non-coding RNA is filed under the name Pteridomonas danica. Lineage: Eukaryota; Dictyochophyceae; Pedinellales. The record is from RNAcentral.
AGUGAGAGAAAUGAGACAGAAAAAAAAAAAAAACAUUGUUUAGACAGAGAAAAGAAACAUGUUUUGUGACGCCCCCCCCCCCUUUUUUUUUUUUUUUUUUU